Molecule: ribosomal RNA, 253 nt
Filed under: uncultured bacterium
Lineage: Bacteria
Description: partial 16S ribosomal RNA
Rfam family: Bacterial small subunit ribosomal RNA
Source: RNAcentral
UACGUAGGGUGCGAGCGUUGUCCGGAAUUAUUGGGCGUAAAGAGCUCGUAGGCGGUUUGUCACGUCGGAUGUGAAAUCCCGGGGCUUAACUCCGAAACUGCAUUCGAUACUGCCGUGCUUGAGGACUGGAGAGGAGACUGGAAUUUACGGUGUAGCGGUGAAAUGCGUAGAUAUCGUAAGGAAGACCAGUGGCGAAGGCGGGUCUCUGGACAGUUCCUGACGCUGAGGCACGAAGGUCAGGGGAGCAAACGGG